GUCAAAAUGGCUUGGCAUGCCAAAGACAGCUACAAGAAGCUGGUGGAGAAGCUGCAGCUGAACAGCACAUGAGUUGUAUGGAGAGGCCUGUAACUCAUCGCUGGACUUGGACAUAGUAGCGCCAGAGGAAUAGCUGAUUAAGACUAGAGCUGCGCCAAUAAUUUAGAUCAGUUGUUCAACAGAUUUGAUUCCAUCCUCGCUUCCUCUGCUGCCACCCCCUCCCUCCUUGAUACCUCUCAAUUCUGCAGACUAUUACCUGAUUAUCUCAAGCUUCCAUAUCAAUUGCCUGAUGGGUUCCUUAAGACAUGCCCACAACAGAAAAGAACACAUUUGAGAAUUUUGUUAGUGAACUUAAAGUUGGCCAGACCAAGUAAAUCUCAAAUAAUUUGUAUAUUAUGAUUUUUUUUUAUUACAUUGCUGUGCAAUCAGGAUGCUUAUUUUAUUUAAUAUUUAAUUAAAUAAUAAUUCGGUCUGUCAAGUAUUGUCCUGGGAAUACAAGCCCAAUAUGGUGGUGGCAUUAGGACAAUAGAUGAAAGAGUGAUUUGAGCACCUUGUCGGGAUCUGGGUUGUUUUUGUGUGUUUUGUGCUUGCAACUUGUGUUCAGCGUUUCAGACGGUGCUGGAGUUCUCAGGUGUGCUGGGUGACAGGUGCGACUUGUUCUGCUGAUUGCUUGGAGGAGUACUUAAGCAGGAGGCUGCCAGCACUUCGACGCCAGAGUGUUUGCCUUCUGUGGUAACAAGCUCAGCCAAUGCUAAGUCUAUGCUUUGUCUCUCGUUUUUUUAGAAUAACUUUGUUUAUGUGCUUUUGCAGACUACGCAUCUGGAUUUUUGGAUUUAUGUCACUGGAUUUUGUACUUCGAAAACUAAGAGUUUCCUGGUUGACCUACGUUCUGAGGAUUUCGUUUCCUAACUAUUGUUUCGUCUGUAUCACCGAUCAAGCUGGCAGUUUCUUGCUUCCUUCAUCUCCUGGACCAAGAUCUAAGCGUAACCCUAUCCACCCUCCACCGCAAGUAUCAGCACAAAGAAACUAACUCAACUUUCUCCAAGCUCACCUACAAAACACCUAAGUGACCAACAGAAAAUACUCGGCUUCUACAACUCAGAUCCCGCAUCCCCCUACCCCUGGCGACCUGACCACAUCCACUCAUUGGACUUUUUGCCCGUUUACGUUCCAGAUCAUUUUGUGUCAAAAUAAACAUGUUUUCAUUUUUU
Long non-coding RNA from Girardinichthys multiradiatus, 1211 nucleotides. RefSeq lists it as uncharacterized. NCBI's taxonomy places the organism in Eukaryota, Metazoa, Chordata, Actinopteri, Cyprinodontiformes, Goodeidae. The transcript is spliced from 2 exons. The record is from RefSeq and is a predicted model, not a curated record.